Molecule: non-coding RNA, 2097 nt
Organism: Phalacrocorax carbo (great cormorant)
Lineage: Eukaryota; Metazoa; Chordata; Aves; Suliformes; Phalacrocoracidae
Source: RefSeq, a predicted model, not a curated record
GAUGCUGUGUAAUGGCUGUGGGAUACCGGAGGAAAGAGCGGGCUCGCAUAUGGAGUGGGACUGGGCUGCCAUCUGUCUGGAAUGGGAUGCACUUGCAACGCCGGGCGGACUGCAGGACAUGAUUGAAGAUCUCAGCUUUUCACUUUUGUCGCCUAUCAGUGUGUCAAGUUCUUCUGCAAAACAAGAAAAAAGCCCAUGACCGACUUACUCUGAACAGAGCUGUAAUCUUCGUAGCUUGCAGCUAGAAUUUUAGUGUUCCUCAGGAGAUGGGGGAGUGGGAUGGUGAACAAAAGGGCUGACCCAUGUAAGAUAAGAACUCUGAAGCCUGAAAUGUUUUUCUAAAUGUUCAUUGCCAAGUGAGUAUGUAAUAAAUUGCAUUUUUGCGGUUAAAGGUUGGAUACUUAUCAGCUGAUUUCAAAUUUUAUUCUAUAGUACUUAUUUCAGUGUUGUUCUUAGCUUAAAGUUUAGUGAGAUGUCCGGGAGAAAGUUUUAUUGGUGAAGCUUCUUUGUGCCUAUUUGGAAGCAUUCACAUAAACCCAAUUCUACUUUAAUUAAUUCUGCUUUUUAUUUUUUCUAUUGUUUUACCAGUCGCUUUAUAACCAGGAAAAAUUCUUAAAUGCUUUCCUAACUCAGCAACUGGGUCUUUCCUCUUCCAUUUCUGAAGCUCCUCCUGCAUCUUAUCGAUUUUGGCUGGAUUCAGAGCCCACAAACAGCCUUUCCGAGAAGAAUUGCCUGACUUGUUUUCAACUUUCUCAAAGCAUUUGUUCAAAGAUAAGUUGUGGCGUACAGAAUUCUUCCAGCCAUCUGGAGCUGUCUGGAAAAACAAAUCCAAUCUAAGAAUGGAACUUCAAGAAAAAAAAACCAAAUAAAUAUAUUUCUCUAUUUUGACUGGUGAGAUUAUAAGAAAAGCUGCUUAUAGGUUAUACUUUCUACCAUAUGAGACUUGUACAAUAGAAGGAAGCCACAAAAAUGUUACAGUCGUGUUGUGUGGGAAGAGAGGAAUCAGAUAAAAUAGUAACUGAUCUUCUAAGCAAGAAGGCUGGCCUUGUCAGAGGGGCUGCUGAACUCUUAAGAGUGAAUUUGCAAAUUACAAGAAUUAAGUGUGUAAAGAAUUAUAUUCUAGAACUGUGAACCAAAAUCUUAUUCUAUUUUGGAACACCUAGAAAAUUUUCAAACACUUAACUGAAGGUCUACGUGCUACCUGGACUCAAAUGAAGUGUCUGGGCAGACUUCAAAGGGAUUUUGGCUGCUACCGUAGGUGUAACUUUGUAUGCUAGCCAAGUAGAUAACCAAAUGGUUUAAUCACAAGCCCUACAGAUGAGAUACAGGUUUCCACAUCUGAUCACGGCAUCUCUUUGCCUUGCAUUUAUUUUUAACUUAGUAUCGGAAGCUGGAAGGUUCUUUGAACUGAACAAUACAUAUAAGCUUCCUUAAAAUGAUUUCUCUAUUUAGGCUGUUUUGGAUCAAUGAGGGAAACAAAAUUCCCUCUUUUCCCUGAGGACAGUUUUGCAUUCAACUGCAAGAAUGGAAAGGAAAGAAAACCUAGCGCAAACCCUCUGUUCAUGCAAUUAAAUUUUUGCGGUCUUUUUAUUUUCCCAAUUGCUUGUAAAAGAACUUUGAAAAUUAAUAUUGCUGUAAGGGGUGAAGAGAGAUAUACCCAGUGAAUGGUCACGCUCAGAUUCUGAUGGGAAAUGCCUGUUAGCUAGUCUGAAAUACUGGUCUUGAAGAAAUGGCACUGUAUCCUUUUAUUGCGUGUAAGUUUUUCUGGUGUUUAUUUGAUUUCACUCAUUUCUGCUUACUUAGUCACGCAGCCAGAAGACGCUGCCCGUCACAUGAAGGCUUUGUCAACUAGUGUGCGCGUUCGUAUCAGAAGAUUCCUAUUGUAAAUUCCUGGUGUGUCACUUCCUCGCCUUUCUUUUGUUUCUACCCUUGUGGCCCACCUGAUGUCAGCAUUUCACUACUCUCUCAGCCAGUUCCACAGAUCAUAUUCAAGUUGCUUUCCGGCAGUUCCAAAAGUCCAUAAAACUGCCUCUCCCGGGUGAGAUGUGGACUUUACUGAGUAAGCUGACCUGAAAGGCUGUUCCUGUGUCUCGCCCU